This 429-nucleotide ribosomal RNA is filed under the name Chloroflexota bacterium. Its description in RNAcentral is "Chloroflexi bacterium partial 16S ribosomal RNA". It matches the Rfam family "Bacterial small subunit ribosomal RNA", at positions 355 to 776 of the family's 1533-position model. Lineage: Bacteria; Bacillati; Chloroflexota. The record is from RNAcentral.
UGGGGAAUAUUGCACAAUGGGCGCAAGCCUGAUGCAGCCAUGCCGCGUGUGUGAAGAAGGCCUUCGGGUUGUAAAGCACUUUCAGCGGGGAGGAAGGCGAUAAGGUUAAUAACCUUGUCGAUUGACGUUACCCGCAGAAGAAGCACCGGCUAACUCCGUGCCAGCAGCCGCGGUAAUACGGAGGGUGCAAGCGUUAAUCGGAAUUACUGGGCGUAAAGCGCACGCAGGCGGUUUGUUAAGUCAGAUGUUAAAUCCUCGGGCUCAACCCGGGAACUGCAUCGGAUACUGGAAAGCUUGAGUCUCGUAGAGGGGGGUAGAAUUCCAGGUGUAGCGGUGAAAUGCGUAGAGAUCUGGAGGAAUACCGGUGGCGAAGGCGGCCCCCUGGACGAAGACUGACGCUCAGGUGCGAAAGCGUGGGGAGCAAACAGG